AAAACUCCUCUCAAAAUCCUAAUCUCACCUCUUCUUCUUAAUCUAUGGUGGCCGAAAAUACUCAUCCUAAUCUCACCUCUUCUUCUCACUCUAUGGUCGUCAAGCUCACCUUUUCCAUACCACCAUCUUCUUCGCCUCCAUCUAGUUCAACUUCUUCUUCUUAAUCUAAACUCCAAUUCUCCAAACCCAUCAAAACCCAUCUCAAACGCCCGUCAAUGUCCUCCUCCAUCUCACUCCCAACUUUAACCACCAUCCACCCCGUUCGAAGCUCGAGCUCUGUACACCUCCAAGGACAAGAUCGGAGUUUGAGGCUACUAAGUUUUAGUUCCUUCACUCGGUGCAUGUCCUUUUUGAAUUAAGCGUUUUUGCAUGGAAGAAGAAGAAAAUGAUGUGAUUUAGUUUUUCUUAUUUGUAUAUGAUUUGUUAGUGUUGUAUAUGUAUUCAGAUUUGGUUUUGUAUAUGUAUUUAGAUUUGGUUUUGUAUAUGUGUUGAGAUUUGGUUUUGUAUAUCCAUUUG
This 516-nucleotide long non-coding RNA is filed under the name Linum usitatissimum (flax). Its description in RNAcentral is "long non-coding RNA (LUSI_LNC007338)". The record is from RNAcentral. Lineage: Eukaryota; Viridiplantae; Streptophyta; Magnoliopsida; Malpighiales; Linaceae.